AACAUCAUUCUCCCAGAUUUUCUCGCAUAUGUUUUUUGUGAUUCAGUUUCAGAAUUCAUUUGGAAAUCGGGUGUAGAUCAUCUGCUUUUGGUGGAGCACGUUGCUGGGCACCUAGUAUUGAAACUUUGUUGUUGAUAUAUUGGGAAUCAGUUGUCGCUACAGUU
Molecule: small nucleolar RNA, 164 nt
Filed under: Ascoidea rubescens DSM 1968
Lineage: Eukaryota; Fungi; Ascomycota; Saccharomycetes; Ascoideales; Ascoideaceae
Description: Small nucleolar RNA snR32
Rfam family: Small nucleolar RNA snR32
Source: Rfam by way of RNAcentral